UAUGGCGCUCGAGUUGGCUGGCCGACAGACAAGCAUACGGAAGACCUACCUGUCGCCGACGAACCUAAGAAAUGAAAUGGAGUGGAUAUGUUUGCUUGUAUGGGAAACCUGCAGUAUGCUAAUGGUUUGCAUGUGGACCCACAUCACCUCAGCUGGGAUUACAGCUGAAUGAGGAAGAGUACCAGAACCUAGACCAGGGGUGUUCAAACUUUGUCCUGGAGGGCCGGUGGCCUGGAGAAAUUAGCUCCAACCCUCAUCAAACCAGCCUGAUCUCACAAGAAAACGUUUGUUGAAGCAAGUUGGAGCUAAACUCAAAAGGACACAGGCCCUCCAGGAUUGAGCUUGGACACCCCUGUCCUAGACCUUAUUUGAGAUUUUCCUAUGUGAUUAUACCCUAAAGUUGGGUUUGUUGUUAACAUCUGUGGUAAACAUACAACUAUUUUAGUUUAAUGUUUUGAUGUACAACAUAAACUAAACAUACUUGUGUAAG
Molecule: long non-coding RNA, 490 nt
Filed under: Danio rerio (zebrafish)
Lineage: Eukaryota; Metazoa; Chordata; Actinopteri; Cypriniformes; Danionidae
Description: lncRNA si:dkey-104i23.1 (ENSDARG00000101211.3)
Source: RNAcentral